RNAcentral lists this ribosomal RNA (492 nucleotides) under uncultured bacterium. Its description in RNAcentral is "partial 16S ribosomal RNA". It matches the Rfam family "Bacterial small subunit ribosomal RNA", at positions 29 to 507 of the family's 1533-position model. The record is from RNAcentral.
AGUGAACGCUGGCGGUAGGCCUAACACAUGCAAGUCGAACGGCAGCACAGUAAGAGCUUGCUCUUACGGGUGGCGAGUGGCGGACGGGUGAGGAAUACAUCGGAAUCUACUUUUUCGUGGGGGAUAACGUAGGGAAACUUACGCUAAUACCGCAUACGACCUACGGGUGAAAGCAGGGGAUCUUCGGACCUUGCGCGAUUGAAUGAGCCGAUGUCGGAUUAGCUAGUUGGCGGGGUAAAGGCCCACCAAGGCGACGAUCCGUAGCUGGUCUGAGAGGAUGAUCGGCCACACUGGAACUGAGCCAGGGCCCAGACUCCUCCGGGGGGAACCAGUGGGGAUUAUUGGAGAAGGGCGGCAAGCCUGAUCCACCAAUCCCGGGGGGGGGAAGAAGGCCUUCGGUUUGUAAAGCCUUUUUGUGGGGAAAAAAAAGCAGCAGGUUAAUCCCCCGCUGUUCUGACGGUACCCAAAAAAUAAGCCCCGGCUAACUUCGUG